UUAAGUUCAGCGGUAGUCCUACCUGAUUUGAGAUCGAACUUCAGACAGCUGUCUUCGCUGAGGAGAGACGUCUAUAAGCUCCGGCGAACCUCUGCAGACCAGAGGUUUACCUCGCAGGCGAUCACAAGCGUAGAUGGUUAUCACACCCAUGAUGCCGCCAGACACCGGCAAGCUAAUUCGUUUGAGGAGAGCCGACCACA
This 200-nucleotide unclassified non-coding RNA is filed under the name Tomentella sp. RNAcentral describes it as "partial internal transcribed spacer 2". The record is from RNAcentral. Lineage: Eukaryota; Fungi; Basidiomycota; Agaricomycetes; Thelephorales; Thelephoraceae.